AUUCCAGCUCCAAUAGCGUAUAUUAAAGUUGUUGCAGUUAAAAAGCUCGUAGUUGAACUUCUUGGCAUCCUUUAAGCUGGCUUCGGUCGUUUCAAGGGUGUCAAUCCGCUAGGGAACUACAUUCGCACUUCACUGUGCGGUGUAAGGAACUGGCAUUCUACUUAGAAAAAAUUAGAGUGUUCAAGGCAGGCUAUCGCCCUGAAUACACAAGCUUGGAAUAAUGAAAUAGGACUAUUUCCAUUUUAUUGGUUAUUGGAUUUAGUAAUGAUUAAUAGGGACAGUUGGGGGCAUUUGUAUUUAAUAGUCAGAGGUGAAAUUCUUGGAUUUAUUAAAGACAAACUUAUGCGAAAGCAUUUGCCAAGGAUGUUUUCAUCA
This is a ribosomal RNA of 375 nucleotides. It matches the Rfam family "Eukaryotic small subunit ribosomal RNA", at positions 582 to 975 of the family's 1831-position model.